GAUGAAGAACGUAGCAAAAUGCGAUAAGUAGUGUGAAUUGCAGAAUUCAGUGAAUCAUCGAAUCUUUGAACGCACAUUGCGCCCGGUAGUAUUCUGCCGGGCAUGCCUGUUCGAGCGUCAUUUCAACCAUCAAGCCCCAGCGCUUGUGUUGGGGGCCUGCGGCUGCCGCAGCCCCCUAAAAGCAGUGGCGGGCUCGCUAUCACACCGAGUGCAGUAGUUCAUCUUCUCUCCGGUCUUGUGAGGCGGGUUCCGGCCGUGAAACACCCCACUACAUUCAAGGUUGACCUCGGAUCAGGUAGGAAUACCCGCUGAACUUAAGCAUAUCAAUAAGCGGAGGA
This 338-nucleotide unclassified non-coding RNA is filed under the name soil metagenome. RNAcentral's name for it is "partial contains 5.8S ribosomal RNA, internal transcribed spacer 2, and large subunit ribosomal RNA". The stretch from base 1 to 120 matches the Rfam family "5.8S ribosomal RNA", at positions 35 to 154 of the family's 154-position model. The record is from RNAcentral.